Molecule: long non-coding RNA, 147 nt
Filed under: Chinchilla lanigera (long-tailed chinchilla)
Lineage: Eukaryota; Metazoa; Chordata; Mammalia; Rodentia; Chinchillidae
Description: lncRNA (ENSCLAG00000028319.1)
Source: RNAcentral
AUAAUUAUGAUCACAUCUCAUUAAGACAAAGAAAAAAAUGAACAUUCUAAAGUGAAAUAAGUGAGAAGGUCCAGGAGAAAGGAAGAAAGGCUACAAUUAUGAAGGUUCUGUGGUCCCACUGGGCCUCCAAAGAGAGGGACCAGGAAU